This 417-nucleotide ribosomal RNA is filed under the name Turritella duplicata. RNAcentral describes it as "partial small subunit ribosomal RNA". The record is from RNAcentral. Lineage: Eukaryota; Metazoa; Mollusca; Gastropoda; Turritellidae.
AAACUGGGAUUAGAUACCCCACUAUUCUUAGACAUAAAUAGAUUCCUAUUCUACCAGAGUACUACGAACCUUAGUUUAAAACUCAAAGAACUUGGCGGUGCCUUAGACCCCUCAGGGGAACCUGUUUCAUAAUCGACAAUCCACGUCACACCUUACCUUUUUUAGUAACCAGUAUGUAUACCGUCGUCGUCAGGUAACUUUUUAGAAUACAGAAGUUAGCAAAAAAGAAUUUACCUUCUACGUCAGAUCAAGGUGCAGCCAAUAAAAAGGAGAAAAUGGGUUACAAUUAAAAUUCAUAACACGAAAGAAAAAACUAAAUUUUAUUCUGAAGGAGGACUUGAAAGUAAGUUAGGACUACAAAGACUAUCUGAAUCACUCCAUUGGCUCUUAGGCGUGCACACACCGCCCGUCACCCUC